This is a non-coding RNA of 371 nucleotides. It matches the Rfam family "transfer-messenger RNA". From Rfam's summary of the family: Bacterial tmRNA, also known as 10Sa RNA or SsrA, is named for its dual tRNA and mRNA-like properties. Its role is to liberate the mRNA from a stalled ribosome. The record is from Rfam.
GGGGGUGCAUUAGGCUUCGACGUAGGUACUGCAAUCGGAAACGCAUGCCGAGCCGGCAACCUAGGCUCGUAAAUCUGUUGGUUGCAAAUUGUUAUCUGCAAACGAUACACAAUACGCUUUAGCUGCUUAAUAACGCAGCUUUCCAUGGUCGUGGUCUGGCUUGUAGGGUCUCGUCGUAUGGUUAUAAUUUACAAGCUCACCUUUCGAGGAUGGUUCUGUCUCCCGAAACGGUGAAAUUUUUGGCAGAACUUGUUGACUAACCGCUUUGCACGUCGAGUGGUUAGUACUAAUAAAAUUGUGACGAUGCUAAGCAUGUAGUUGUUGAAGAUUAGUUGAUUUACGGACGCGGGUUCGAAUCCCGCCACCUCCAA